CGUAGGGUGCGAGCGUUAAUCGGAAUUACUGGGCGUAAAGCGUGCGCAGGCGGUUUUGUAAGACAGGCGUGAAAUCCCCGGGCUCAACCUGGGAACUGCGCUUGCGACUGCAAGGCUAGAGUACGGCAGAGGGGGGUGGAAUUCCACGUGUAGCAGUGAAAUGCGUAGAGAUGUGGAGGAACACCAAUGGCGAAGGCAGCCCCCUGGGUCGAUACUGACGCUCAUGCACGAAAGCGUGGGUAGCAAACAGGAUUAGAUACCCUGGUAGUCCACGCCCUAAACGAUGUCAACUAGGUGUUGGGUGGGUAAAACCAUUUAGUACCGGAGCUAACGCGUGAAGUUGACCGCCUGGGGAGUACGGCCGCAAGGUUA
This 372-nucleotide ribosomal RNA is filed under the name uncultured organism. RNAcentral describes it as "bacterial SSU rRNA". It matches the Rfam family "Bacterial small subunit ribosomal RNA", at positions 526 to 896 of the family's 1533-position model. The record is from RNAcentral.